RNAcentral lists this long non-coding RNA (1229 nucleotides) under Gallus gallus (chicken). Its description in RNAcentral is "lncRNA (ENSGALG00010016625.1)". The record is from RNAcentral. Lineage: Eukaryota; Metazoa; Chordata; Aves; Galliformes; Phasianidae.
CUCUGUACCUUUUGGAGUGUUCUGUGAGUCCCGCUCCUUGGGACAGGUAUAGUCUGUGUGACUGGUCUGAGAUGGGCAAAUCAAGCUAUCCAUAGUACUGCUGGUCUGGAGGAGAAUUCAGAGCCGCUGCUGGGGUCACUGGAGGGAUGCCCAGAGUAAAAGACCUCCGAAUCUGCUCUCAACCAAGGGGAAGUGAAUUGGUCUCCUUGUUCCUGUGGCAGCCAUGGACCCCUAUGAUUGGGUGGUCCUCUAGAGGCACUGACACUGAGCCUGAAGGGAAGCUCCCAUCUCUGAUCCAUGAGUGCCUCCAGCCUGGCAGGACCUGGCUCUUCUGAUUAGCAGCAGUUCUUAGAAGCACUGGGAGCCUGGGACUGAGGGCACACUUCUGGGAGUCCUCUUUCCACGUGAAACAACUCUGAAAAUAAUGAAUGAGGGAAGAGAGAAGAAGAGAAGCCAGAGAUGAGCAGAGCAGCUUUGGGUGUACUUCAAACUCUUGUUAUUCAUGUUUUCUCUCACUUUGGAGAUUGUUUACCCUGAGAAUUCAGUGCUGUUACCAGCUUCUUUUAUCAGGACUUCAGCAAUACAGGCUGCUGGAAGAGCCAUUAAACCCAAGUUGUUAUUCUCCUUGCCUUUCAGCACAAAGUGCUGCCCGUAGCAAUGGCAAUAAUCCAGAAGAAUUGUACUCUUAAAGGGAAAGCAGGAAAGUCUCAGGAUAACAUGUGAGACUGGGUGGGUGGGCCCUGUGCUACUGAUGGGUGGCACUGGGGACUGUGCAUGUUCUGCAAGCAUCACUGAGAAAAGUGCUUGAGGAGUUGGGAUCCAUAAGAGAGCAGGACUGAGCACUUAUUGUCUUGAGCGUGGAUUCUGUAGUGGAGACAUCCAUAGCUCCAGAACACAAACUCAAAGCAAUGUCAGCUCGCUUUUUCAAAGAGAAGUGUGCUUCUAACCGAAUUAUACCGUGUCUUUCUUUCUGUCCAUUCCCAAGAUUAGUUCAUGUCAGGUUCUGGCAGCUCUGAUUGCUGCAUCAUCUCUGUGCUGUGAUUCAUUGCUCAGUGUGAGUCACAGAGCCUUGUAAGGAGAGGGAGCAUGCAAGCUGACUUCUGUGCAUCCAAAUGGCAGACAAAUGUUUGAAUUACAGAUCACAAUUAACUGCUAAUUGGCCAUAAUGUAAGCCCCUUCCAAAUGGACGUUGUAAAUAUUGAAAUAAACAGCUUGUUAUUUUUCAGACC